UUUGAUCGGGCAGUUCAAGAGGCCAUUAAAAAACAGAUGCCGGAUAUACUAAAGGAACUAAGGGAAGACUUACGUCGAGAGACGAUUGAGGUAAUUAGCAUUUAUAUAUAAAUCAAUAUUCAUAUUUUCUUUAUAAUUUCAAUUUUUUUUUACAUUAGGGUCAGUCGAGCCAAGGACACGACAACAUAAUCACGCCUACUACAAGAGAUUCAAAUGUCGAAAAUGUUGGCAAAAAAGCGACUCAAAGUCCGACUAAAAGUGGGACGAAUAGCGCGACUAAGAGCAUGACCGACACUAACAAAUAGGUUCCUCUUUAUUUAUCUUUUCGUUUAGUUUUGUUUUAAAUGACAUGAAUUGUAUAAAAAUUGGAAUGGUAUGGAAUUGGAAUGGUUUAGAAUGGUUUAGAAUUCAUUCAUUUUCUUUUAUCUUUUGGAAUGGUAUAGAAUUGAAGAAUUGAAUGGAAUGUUUUGGAAUUGAUU
This 479-nucleotide long non-coding RNA is filed under the name Zostera marina. Its description in RNAcentral is "long non-coding RNA (ZMAR_LNC002281)". Lineage: Eukaryota; Viridiplantae; Streptophyta; Magnoliopsida; Alismatales; Zosteraceae. The record is from RNAcentral.